UGGAGAGCCAGCCUUAGAAUCUGCA
Molecule: unclassified non-coding RNA, 25 nt
Filed under: Mus musculus (house mouse)
Lineage: Eukaryota; Metazoa; Chordata; Mammalia; Rodentia; Muridae
Description: oocyte_clustered_small_RNA12088
Source: RNAcentral